CCUACGGGGGGCAGCAGUCGAGAAUCAUUCACAAUGGGGGAAACCCUGAUGGGGCGACGCCGCGUGGGGGAAUGAAGGUCUGCGGAUUGUAAACCCCUGUCAUGUGGGAGCAAAUUAAAAAGAUAGUACCACAAGAGGAAGAGACGGCUAACUCUGUGCCAGCAGCCGCGGUAAUACAGAGGGCUCAAGCGUUGUUCGGAAUCACUGGGCGUAAAGCGUGCGUAGGCUGUUUCGUAAGUCGUGUGUGAAAGGCGCGGGCUCAACCCGCGGACGGCACCUGAUACUGCGAGACUAGAGUAAUGGAGGGGGAACCGGAAUUCUCGGUGUAGCCGUGAAAUGCGUAGAUAUCGAGAGGAACACUCGUGGCGAAGGCGGGUUCCUGGACAUUAACUGACGCUGAGGCACGAAGGCCAGGGGAGCGAAAAGGAUUAGAUACCCGAGUAGUC
This 446-nucleotide ribosomal RNA is filed under the name uncultured bacterium. RNAcentral describes it as "partial 16S ribosomal RNA". It matches the Rfam family "Bacterial small subunit ribosomal RNA", at positions 338 to 795 of the family's 1533-position model. The record is from RNAcentral.